AACGAACGCUGGCGGCAUGCCUAACACAUGCAAGUCGAACGAAGGCUUCGGCCUUAGUGGCGCACGGGUGCGUAACGCGUGGGAAUCGGCCCUUUUGUUCGGAAUAACAGCUGGAAACGGCUGCUAAUACCGGAUGAUGACGAAAGUCCAAAGAUUUAUCGCCAGAGUAUGAGCCCUCGUUGGAUUAGGUAGUUGGUUGGCUAAAGGCAUACCAAGCCGACGAUGCAUAGCUGGUCUGUGAGAAUGGUCAGCGACACUGAGACUGAGACACGGCCCGGAAUCCUCCGGGAGGGGGGAGUGCGGAAUAGAGGAAAAUGGGGGGAGGGCUGAUGCAGCAAGGCCGGGAGAGCGAUGAAGGCCGGAGGGUUGUAAAGCGCAAUUAACCGGGAAGGUAAUGACUGUACCGGGAGAAUAAGCCACGGCUAACUACGUG
This 433-nucleotide ribosomal RNA is filed under the name uncultured bacterium. Its description in RNAcentral is "partial 16S ribosomal RNA". It matches the Rfam family "Bacterial small subunit ribosomal RNA", at positions 29 to 507 of the family's 1533-position model. The record is from RNAcentral.